CACUGAAGUACUCUUGUUCACCACGAGUUGCUCACCGACUAAACUCGAUCAUCGAUCACACAAACAAUCGGAGAAAGCAUACACGAGCAAACAAAGCUACAAUUAGAACAGUACACCAAUCAUAUAAAAACAGUAUGAGAAGUUUAUAAAAUGAUUCUACGCAUGACUACGAUUUCAUAGAUGUAAAGAUCACGAAAAUCGGAGUUAAAACGUAGAAGUUAUGAAUUUUCUAAGAUUUUGGAUAGAAAAGUAAUUAAUUAAUUAAGGUCACGAAAUUAAAAAGUUUCCAACUGAGAAAACCAUUUUUCUAACAUGUAGAGCUCAUGAAAACAAACCUAACGCAAUUUGAAUGGGUCAAAUCGGAGUUAGAAUGAAUAUUUUAUAGCCAAAAAAAUCCAGUGGCAAAUUUGUAAUUUAAUGAAAACGUAUUUUGAAUUAUACCGAGGUAGAAUACGUUUUCUAAAGGACAUAGCGUGUUUCUGGAAAGACGUAAAGGACUGCGGGUUUAUUUAGAAAAACUCCGAGGGCUCUUUAUCAAAAUCUACCCCGAAGGGGUAUCUUCUAAUCUCGGCCCUUGGUUUUGGAUCGGAUGGCUCAGAAUGAUUCCAGGCGGGUGAGGGGAGUUCCCUGGUCGGAGAGGGAGUCCACGGUGGCUCCAUGGCCGGAAAAGAGCAGAGCUCGCCGGAGUUGGUGGAGAAGGCAUUAGGAAGCUCAGUUUUCGACGGUAAAAGUUCCGGGAGCAAGAGAGGACCCUUGCGAACUCACCUGGGGGGUUAUCGAAGCUCGGGGAGAUCUCAGGAGAGGCGCGCAACGCAAACCGCGGACGGGAGUUUCCCUGAACACUUCGGCGACCUGCGACGAGUGACACAGAGCAUGAAUUCACGAGGGGUAAGACUCAGGGGCUUCGCAAACGCAGCACAAAGCUCGGUAGAAAGGUUACGGUGGCCCGGAGAUAAAGGUCGUCGGAAUAGGCAACGGCGGGCGGCUCCUGCGCCUCUGCGAGAUCCAAAACAGGGACACCGGCGA
Molecule: long non-coding RNA, 1026 nt
Filed under: Sorghum bicolor (sorghum)
Lineage: Eukaryota; Viridiplantae; Streptophyta; Magnoliopsida; Poales; Poaceae
Description: long non-coding RNA (SBIC_LNC006105)
Source: RNAcentral